UCCUGGUUAGCUCAAUUGGUAGAGCGUUCCACUGGAAAUGGAGAGGCCCCUGAUUCGACACCGGGACCAGGCG
Molecule: transfer RNA, 73 nt
Filed under: Ixodes scapularis (black-legged tick)
Lineage: Eukaryota; Metazoa; Arthropoda; Arachnida; Ixodida; Ixodidae
Rfam family: tRNA
About the family: Transfer RNA (tRNA) molecules are approximately 80 nucleotides in length. Their secondary structure includes four short double-helical elements and three loops (D, anti-codon, and T loops). Further hydrogen bonds mediate the characteristic L-shaped molecular structure. tRNAs have two regions of fundamental functional importance: the anti-codon, which is responsible for specific mRNA codon recognition, and the 3' end, to which the tRNAs corresponding amino acid is attached (by aminoacyl-tRNA synthetases). tRNAs cope with the degeneracy of the genetic code in two manners: having more than one tRNA (with a specific anti-codon) for a particular amino acid; and 'wobble' base-pairing, i.e. permitting non-standard base-pairing at the 3rd anti-codon position.
Source: Rfam by way of RNAcentral